GCCAGCCCGCUCAGAAACUUAAAGGAAUUGACGGGGCCGCACAAGCGGUGGAGUAUGUGGUUUAAUUCGAUGCAACGCGAAGAACCUUACCUGGUCUUGACAUCCCGGAGACCCUUAGGAAACUAGGGGGUGCUUCCAUCUGGAAGAAUCUGGAGACAGGUGCUGCAUGGCUGUCGUCAGCUCGUGUCGUGAGAUGUUGGGUUAAGUCCCGCAACGAGCGCAACCCUUGCCUUUAGUUGCCAGCAGUUCGGCUGGGCACUCUAAAGGGACUGCCGGUGUUAAACCGGAGGAAGGUGGGGAUGACGUCAAGUCCUCAUGGCCUUUAUGACCAGGGCUACACACGUACUACAAUGGCCGAUACAAAGGGCAGCGACACUGCGAGGUGAAGCCAAUCCCGUAAAAUCGGUCUCAGUCCGGAUUGGAGUCUGCAACUCGACUCCAUGAAGUUGGAAUCGCUAGUAAUCGUGGAUCAGCAUGCCACGGUGAAUACGUUCCCGGGCCUU
Molecule: ribosomal RNA, 503 nt
Filed under: uncultured Desulfobulbus sp.
Lineage: Bacteria; Pseudomonadati; Thermodesulfobacteriota; Desulfobulbia; Desulfobulbales; Desulfobulbaceae
Description: bacterial SSU rRNA
Rfam family: Bacterial small subunit ribosomal RNA
Source: RNAcentral